This 280-nucleotide ribosomal RNA is filed under the name Fusarium oxysporum. RNAcentral describes it as "partial 28S ribosomal RNA". It matches the Rfam family "Eukaryotic large subunit ribosomal RNA", at positions 351 to 650 of the family's 3401-position model. The record is from RNAcentral. Lineage: Eukaryota; Fungi; Ascomycota; Sordariomycetes; Hypocreales; Nectriaceae.
GAGUGAUCGAAAGAUGAAAAGCACUUUGAAAAGAGAGUUAAAAAGUACGUGAAAUUGUUGAAAGGGAAGCGUUUAUGACCAGACUUGGGCUUGGUUAAUCAUCUGGGGUUCUCCCCAGUGCACUUUUCCAGUCCAGGCCAGCAUCAGUUUUCCCCGGGGGAUAAAGGCGGCGGGAAUGUGGCUCUCUUCGGGGAGUGUUAUAGCCCACCGUGUAAUACCCUGGGGGGGACUGAGGUUCGCGCAUCUGCAAGGAUGCUGGCGUAAUGGUCAUCAACGACCC